UGGUGGAGCGAUUUGUCUGGUUAAUUCCGAUAACGAACGAGACUCUGGCCUACUAAAUAGUUCGCCGAUUCCGAUCUGUCGGCGUUAACUUCUUAGAGGGACAAGUGGCUUUUAGCCACGCGAGAUUGAGCAAUAACA
RNAcentral lists this ribosomal RNA (138 nucleotides) under uncultured eukaryote. RNAcentral describes it as "partial 18S ribosomal RNA". It matches the Rfam family "Eukaryotic small subunit ribosomal RNA", at positions 1299 to 1458 of the family's 1831-position model. The record is from RNAcentral.